Molecule: non-coding RNA, 83 nt
Organism: Terfezia claveryi
Lineage: Eukaryota; Fungi; Ascomycota; Pezizomycetes; Pezizales; Pezizaceae
Source: the annotation of a GenBank genome assembly
UCUCUGGUAGUAUAGUGGUAAGUAUUCCCGCCUGUCAAUCUGACUGAACGCGGGCGACCGGGGUUCAAUUCCCCGCCAGAGAG